This 1701-nucleotide unclassified non-coding RNA is filed under the name Hevea brasiliensis (rubber tree). Lineage: Eukaryota; Viridiplantae; Streptophyta; Magnoliopsida; Malpighiales; Euphorbiaceae. The record is from RNAcentral.
GUUGCUUUUCUUUUCCAUUUCUUUCAAACUUUUCUUUAUUUUCAAUGGAAUCAUUGAUUGCAAGACAUAAUCAUCUUUCAUCAUAACCUAAUGACAAAUACUGAUUGAAAUGGGAAAGGCAAGAACAUGAGUCCCAUAUUUCGUUUGUACAUGACGCUAAGAAUUUAUUCAAGAUCAAAUUUCACCAUCCCAAAGCUCCUCUACUGUCUUGAAAGGUCCCUUCUCUGAGAUGUAGUCUUCUCCUCGACAUCCUCUACUUUGAGGAAUCUCACUGAUCUGUUUGCUUUCUUCCUCGCUCAAUGUCCAGUUAAUUAUGUCGAGGUUCUGUUUCAUCCUCUCCUUGUUAAAACUUUUCACCAACACACAGGUCCCUUGCUCAUAUGCCCACCUAAGGCACAUCUGAAAAUUUUGUUAGAGAAAAUGAAUUUGCUGUUAGGUUUCAAUUCAUUGAAAUUGCAGAACAAAUAUAAGAUAAUAGAUAUGAAAAAAAUUCUUGUCAAGCACAUGGAAUUAGACUACGAAUUCAGGAUUUUCUUUAUUUUUGUCUUUAGCACUAAAAAGAAAUAAGAACAACUAAAGGUUGAGAGAAGGCAAGGCAGUGUUAAGCACCUGAGCAACACUCUUUCUUUUGGCACUUGCAAUCUGAAUAAGCGUUUCGUUCUCCAUCACCCUGUUGCUACCCCAAAUGGUUCCCCUGGCUCCUAGAGAAGCAUAAGCUGUCAACACUAUUCCAUUUUCCUUACAGAACUCCAGCAGCUUCUUUUGUUGCCAUAGCGGGUUUAUCUCUACCUUCAAGAUCCCAACUUCUUUCAUUUCCAAUUACAAACCCCACAAAAUCAAAAAUGACUUUGCAAGAAAAUAAAUAAAUAAACUGGAAAACUUACUUGAUUAACAGCUGGAGGAAUCUCUGCUAUGGAAAGGAUUUCCGAGAGUUUCUUACAGGAAAAAUUGCUGACACCAAUUGAUUUGGUGAGUCCAAUUUUCUGGCACUCUUCCAUAGCUCUCCAUACUCCUUUAAAAUCCAUGGGUAAAAAAUCCUCUUGCCUUAUUGGGAACUCGAAGGUCCCUGGCCUCGAGCUCACGGGCCAAUGGAUCAGAUAAAGAUCAAUGUACUUCAACUGAAGAGCCCUGCACAAGCAUAAAUGCAUGUUAAAAAAUCAAAAAUAGAAGAUUAUCUUUGUUUUGAUGGGCUUGAGAAAUGAAGAAAUUGCUGCAGUACUGGAGACUCUUUUGAAGGGCCGGCAGAACGAGAUCGCUAUGAGCAUUGCUGCACCAAAGCUUUGAGGUAAUAAAGAGUUCCUCUCGGGAUUUAAUCAAGCCACGAGAAAGUGCUUCGACAAUGGCUUCGCCUAGAGGCUCCUCUGUCAGGUAGAGUGCGGCUGUAUCAAAAUGUCUGUAACCAAGCUCAAUAGCUUGAAUAAUCGCUGCUUUAGUUUCUUCUGGUGGCACUGGAGGAGAAGUUGCUGUGCCCAUCCCCAGUAGUGGCAUUCUCCGGCUGCUAGAGCUAAGAACCACUUCUGGGAUGCUGAUUGAUGAAUUGGUAUCCAUCUUUCGAUCUCCAGCAGUAAGUAAUAGAUUUUCUGUAAGAAAAUUUCAGUCUUCAAACUUGAUUGUAUUUUUUUUGUUUGAGUAAUGCCUUGUCUGCAAUUUGCAAAUUAUGCUAUUCUUUUGGGUAAAUGAGAGAACCCUAGCCGCAUUCUU